This 283-nucleotide long non-coding RNA is filed under the name Hordeum vulgare. Its description in RNAcentral is "long non-coding RNA (HVUL_LNC018289)". Lineage: Eukaryota; Viridiplantae; Streptophyta; Magnoliopsida; Poales; Poaceae. The record is from RNAcentral.
AUAAUAAUAAGAAGAAGAAGAAGAAGAAGAAGAAGAAGAAGAAGAAGAAGAAAGAGAAAAAUAGGAGAGAGGGGAAGAAGAAAGAAGAGGAAAAAGGAAAAGAAGGAAGAAGAAGAAGAAUAAGAACAUGAAAAAGUAAAAGAAGGAAGAAGAAGAAGAAGAAGAAGAAGAAGAAGAAGAAGAAGAAGAAGAAACAAAAGAAAAGGAAGAAGAAGAAAAGGAAGUAGAGGAAAAAAAGAAGAGGAAUAAGAAGAAAAGACACCCUGACACCCCAACACGAUGC